UGGCAAUGAGGAGGCACCUGCUGUGCCGAACUACAACGAUCGUUCAGACGCUACUUUGAGCCAGCA
Lemur catta (Ring-tailed lemur) is the source of this 66-nucleotide small nucleolar RNA. RefSeq annotates it as small nucleolar RNA U54. The record is from RefSeq and is a predicted model, not a curated record. The transcript has a single exon. Lineage: Eukaryota; Metazoa; Chordata; Mammalia; Primates; Lemuridae.